Molecule: non-coding RNA, 683 nt
Organism: Agelaius phoeniceus (red-winged blackbird)
Lineage: Eukaryota; Metazoa; Chordata; Aves; Passeriformes; Icteridae
Source: RefSeq, a predicted model, not a curated record
GAAUUGAAAUGAAAAGCUAAUUAAAGACACAAAAUUAGAAACAUAUUAUUUCCCAAAAUUGCUUUGAUGAUGCUUUUUUAAUUUUUUUUUUUUUUUAUUCCAGCUUUUACCAGGAAGUUGACAGCUCUGCAAGGAGUCUGUGUCCCAAAGGGAUGGGAGUCCCUGGCCGUGUAGAUGAGGCAUGAAGAGAUUGGGAAUACUUCCUAAGGACACAAGGGAAACCUGAGCCAAUGCCAGGAAGUCACAAAUCUUCAUUCAACCUUACCACACUCAGCAUCUGCUCAGGAACAAUUCCCAGCUGAAAGAGCUGUGAGCAUCACCAGCUUCUUUCAGUACAUCCUCAAAAAUGGACCCUCUGUGAUGGGAAAAACAUCUCCAAAAUGGGAUUUUUGAUCUGUGCCUCAGGUUUGUUGUGCCCUGGCAUGCUGUAGGGCCAGCUUCCAAUUGGCCCUUUCCAAAUAUCACCAGAGGCAUCUCUAUGGCUGUUUAUCACCAAGAAAAUCCAGUCCAAGAGAGCAGCAACUUCAGCAGCAAUCCCCAGGAAAAGCACAGCCAGGCCCAUGUUCCACAGUCUCUUCCAGCACAUCUCCACUAAAUGAUUCCCAUCAAAGCUACAGCAGUUGUUAAUAUCUACUAUUUUUUUUCCCUCUGCAAAGAUGUAUUUAUAAAUGCAUUUUACACCC